CUUGCUUCUCUUGAGAGCGGCGGACGGGUGAGUAAUGCCUAGGAAUCUGCCUGGUAGUGGGGGAUAACGUUCGGAAACGGACGCUAAUACCGCAUACGUCCUACGGGAGAAAGCAGGGGACCUUCGGGCCUUGCGCUAUCAGAUGAGCCUAGGUCGGAUUAGCUAGUUGGUGGGGUAAUGGCUCACCAAGGCGACGAUCCGUAACUGGUCUGAGAGGAUGAUCAGUCACACUGGAACUGAGACACGGUCCAGACUCCUACGGGAGGCAGCAGUGGGGAAUAUUGGACAAUGGGCGAAAGCCUGAUCCAGCCAUGCCGCGUGUGUGAAGAAGGUCUUCGGAUUGUAAAGCACUUUAAGUUGGGAGGAAGGGUUGUAGAUUAAUACUCUGCAAUUUUGACGUUACCGACAGAAUAAGCACCGGCUAACUCUGUGCCAGCAGCCGCGGUAAUACAGAGGGUGCAAGCGUUAAUCGGAAUUACUGGGCGUAAAGCGCGCGUAGGUGGUUUGUUAAGUUGGAUGUGAAAUCCCCGGGCUCAACCUGGGAACUGCAUUCAAAACUGACUGACUAGAGUAUGGUAGAGGGUGGUGGAAUUUCCUGUGUAGCGGUGAAAUGCGUAGAUAUAGGAAGGAACACCAGUGGCGAAAGCGACCACCUGGACUAAUACUGACACUGAGUGCGAAAGCGUGGGGAGCAAACAGGAUUAGAUACCCUGGUAGUCCACGCCGU
RNAcentral lists this ribosomal RNA (727 nucleotides) under uncultured bacterium. Its description in RNAcentral is "bacterial SSU rRNA". It matches the Rfam family "Bacterial small subunit ribosomal RNA", at positions 79 to 803 of the family's 1533-position model. The record is from RNAcentral.